RNAcentral lists this ribosomal RNA (429 nucleotides) under Pseudomonadota bacterium. Its description in RNAcentral is "Proteobacteria bacterium partial 16S ribosomal RNA". It matches the Rfam family "Bacterial small subunit ribosomal RNA", at positions 355 to 776 of the family's 1533-position model. Lineage: Bacteria; Pseudomonadati; Pseudomonadota. The record is from RNAcentral.
UGGGGAAUAUUGGACAAUGGGCGAAAGCCUGAUCCAGCCAUGCCGCGUGUGUGAAGAAGGUCUUCGGAUUGUAAAGCACUUUAAGUUGGGAGGAAGGGCAGUAAGCGAAUACCUUGCUGUUUUGACGUUACCGACAGAAUAAGCACCGGCUAACUCUGUGCCAGCAGCCGCGGUAAUACAGAGGGUGCAAGCGUUAAUCGGAAUUACUGGGCGUAAAGCGCGCGUAGGUGGUUCGUUAAGUUGAAUGUGAAAGCCCCGGGCUCAACCUGGGAAGUGCAUCCAAAACUGGCGAGCUAGAGUAGGGCAGAGGGUGGUGGAAUUUCCUGUGUAGCGGUGAAAUGCGUAGAUAUAGGAAGGAACACCAGUGGCGAGGGCGGCCACCUGGGCUCAUACUGACACUGAGGUGCGAAAGCGUGGGGAGCAAACAGG